This 72-nucleotide transfer RNA is filed under the name Cordylochernes scorpioides. RNAcentral's name for it is "tRNA-Cys". It matches the Rfam family "tRNA". From Rfam's summary of the family: Transfer RNA (tRNA) molecules are approximately 80 nucleotides in length. Their secondary structure includes four short double-helical elements and three loops (D, anti-codon, and T loops). The record is from RNAcentral. Lineage: Eukaryota; Metazoa; Arthropoda; Arachnida; Pseudoscorpiones; Chernetidae.
GGGGUUAUAGCUCAGUGGUAGAAUAUUCCACUGCAGAUAGAGAGGUCCCCGGUUCAAACCUCGGUGUCCCCU